Macadamia integrifolia is the source of this 2537-nucleotide RNA transcript. It is a transcript of the gene named protein WHAT'S THIS FACTOR 1 homolog, chloroplastic-like, with no coding region annotated. Lineage: Eukaryota; Viridiplantae; Streptophyta; Magnoliopsida; Proteales; Proteaceae. The record is from RefSeq and is a predicted model, not a curated record. The transcript has 3 exons.
CUCGGCAUAGGAAGGCAGGGGUCUUUUCCAAAAGGGGUGGAGAAAGGAAUAGACAUGUUACUAUGUUAGGAACCAUGGCGACAUGACCGCGUUUGCAGCCUUUUCUUGAACAUAUUGUGAUGUUCAAGCAUAUUUGGGAAGCCUAUGUCUCUAAGCUCGAGGGUGAAAGUUUAAUGCUAAGUACAAAAGUGGAAAGCUUGAAUUCGAAUGUGGCAUAGGCUCGAAAUUUGGGAGUCGGAACAAGAUUGGUCGAAAAGAAAACCCCAAAUUGAAGAAACUUUAUUUCUUCGUUUUCUCUAUUUUUGAACCCUAGCUCAUUGCCCCCUUCCUCUUCUACGUCUCUGUUCCCAGUUGACUGCAGCUACGGCCGGCGAGUUUACAUUUAAGGGUAUUGAGCCCCCUGCCUCGUUCAUCUUCUCCAGCUACUUUCCCAGUUGAUUGCUGCGGUGGCUCUCUUCUCUGCAAGUGAACAAGUGUGAGGAGGAAUGCGUUUGUUCAAUCGAUCUUCCAUUUCCUGUAAUCUCAUGAGCUCAAGAGUCUGGGCUCAUCAGUGCGAUUGGAUUUCUGCAAAAUGCUCACCGCUGUCUCUUUUAGUUGAUGGGGAUUGUAGGGUUAGGGUUUGGACCCAAUUUUCUGUUUCCAUUUCAAACCUUAAGGUUGUGUGGCGUAAGGAUCAUGAUUUGGAUGAGGCAAUUGAAGAUGACAAGGAAUGGAGACUCUGUACCAAAGUUGUGAAGGAGGUUUUGAAUGAACCUGGACAGGUUAUUCCACUUCGUUACCUGGAGAAGCGAAGAGAAAGGUUGCGUCUCCAAGUUAAGGUCAAGACAUUCCUCAGUAGAUACCCUGGACUCUUCGAUAUCUACCUUGAUCGGAUCAAACCUAAAACUGAGCCUGUCCCAUUCGUCCGUGCCAGCAAUCGUCUCUGCCGGUUUCUGGAGGAAGAGAAGCAUAUCAAAGCUGAGAAUGAGCAUUUCUUGGUGGAGAAGUUGUGUAAAUUGCUCAUGAUGUCCAAAGAUAGAGUAGUCAGCGCCGAUAAAUUGGUUCACGUCAAGAGGGAAUUCGGGUUCCCAGAUGAUUUCUUGUGUAGCAUGGUGCCCAAAUAUCCACAAUUAUUUAGGUUGGUUGGGAGCCCUGGUGAGGGAAAAUCAUUUUUGGAAUUGGUCUCCUGGAACCCAGACUAUGCUCAGUCAGUUAUAGAACAAAGAGCAGAGGAAGAGUCCAGGUUAACGGGGAUCCGAGUCAGGCCUGCCUUUAACGUCAAGCUCCCUAAAGGUUUCUUCCUCAGGAAAGAAAUGAGGGAAUGGACCAGAGACUGGAUGGAGCUUCCCUAUAUAUCUCCUUAUGCUGAUGCUUCACAGUUGGAUCAGGCUUCGCCUGAGAUGGAGAAGAGGACAGUGGGACUUUUCCAUGAGUUGCUUUCACUGUCCAUCCUCAAAAGGAUGCCUGUGCCAAUAUUGGGGAAGUUCAGCGAGGAGUAUCGGUUCUCCAAUGCAUUCUCUGGUGUUUUCACGAGGCACUCAGGAAUCUUCUAUAUGUCCCUAAAAGGUGGAAUCAAAACUGCUAUGCUUAGGGAAGCCUACCGGAAUUCUGAGCUGGUCAGUCGCGACCCUUUGCUUGUUAUUAAAGAUAAGUUCAUUGAACUGUUGGCUGAAGGGCGCCUUGAAAGAGCAGAACAACUAAGACUAAGGAAGGAAGCAGUUCAAAAGGAUAUGGAAAUGGCGGCAAUUAGGAAUUUGGAAAUAUCACCUGACGGGGUAUGAUGAGGAUCAUUGAAUAUACAGUGCAACCUCACUUGCAUGUUAUGGGAGUCCUUGUUUGGUUAUAAAAGACACUGCUUUUUCUUGGAAUUUUCCUCUUGGAAAAUCUUGCACUCGAUCAUGUACUCUAAUCAUCCUUUCUUCCUUCAAAUAUUGAGCAGCUCAAUACUUGAAGUGUUGAAAUGGGAAAUGGUUUGUUUGAGACAGAUCUUGACAAGGGAUCUGAGGAGGUGCAGGAACACUUAAAGAUGGAUACAGCAAGAGUAUGAGUAGAAGUUUCUUCCCCUGCUUCACAAAGAGCGCACCUGGUCUCAACCAUCAACACUUUUUCAAAGCUUGAAGCCAGUCAAAAUCUUCUACAUGUGACGGUAUUGGUUUCCCCCAAAUGUGUCUGAGGUCUGAGACAAUCAGGCUGAUGGAGACAACCUCCAAAUAGAAGGAUCUAACGGAGAUUCGCAGAUUCUGAUGGCUCCCAAAGUGGUGGUGGUGGUGGUGGUGGUGCUUGCUGGUUAAGAACGCUGGUGAAGCACACACUGUCAGUUUGUCCCUGCCCCACUUGGGUUCUAUAGCUAAGUACUGUCUAUUGCUUGUCUAUGGAUUAAAACAAUUUCCAUGUCAAUUAGUCAAUUAUCAUAUCAUGUCGGGAGAAAAAGAGCUUAAAUCUUUGGUGCCUGAAUUUUUUCUUAGCCAUAAAAGACUAUAUUUGCAUUUCCCUUUUGUUCUAUUAGGUUGUUUCUUAUUAUGCACUGUUGAUUCAUCUAUUGCACAUUUGUUAUGUUC